ACCAAAUGGUGGCGUAUAUCGCAAUCGGACCGCCUGAAGAAUGGCCAGCGAAUAUUAUUGGCUUACUGUCCCUCGUUGCCUUGUCCAUCUGGAAACGAAAGACAAAUCCCGAGAAAUUGAACUUAACCAUAUCGUUGGCGAUGUGAUAUAUACAUCAACCGCUAUGUGAUGAAAAAGUAAUGGCAUCUGAAGAAACUGGAAAUGAAUUCAAGAUUCAAGAGUACCUCGCUGCGGAGCGCUGACUUCUCCAUAAUCUGUAGGAAUUGGUUCAUGGAGGCCUCGUUGACCUUAGCGGUUAUGUCAUUGCCGAUGCUCCUGAGAGAAGGGAACGAGUUGAGGUUGACCUCGGUCUCCCCGAAAGCUUUGGCUGUGCCAUCUCGGGUGGACCACGCAUCGGAAGUCCAAGCCCCGGAGAAGGCGAUGACGACCUGCGAGGGGCUGCCGCGAAUCUUGUCGACGAGGAAGGGCUUCUCCGCUGGAGCCUGGUGAGCUCUGAUGGAGAUGGAGCAAGCUUUCUUGAUCACCUCAUCUUUGAUGCCCAGUUCUCGCCCACAGCUUCCCGUGUCGAUGUCCAUGACUUCUUCCUACUCUGCUGCUGCUGCUGCUCCUAUCUGGAUGUUUGAUCUAACUUCUCGACGGGUUCAGCCGGGGGGAGGACGGGGGAGAUAUAGGGGAUGAGAUAUUACGAAACUGUCCCUUCAGCGGCUGGUCAAGGAAACUUCGUCUCGGGCUUUUCCGUCAUUGCACCUAUGUUGACUUCCUGUUGGCAUUGCUUUUGGGUUGGGGUCUUCGUCGUCGUGCCCGUGCUUGGAAAUAGCCCCUCGUUUUGGGGGUUUGGUAUAAGACAAAGCAUACCUGCUUUUAUAGCUUUUUUCAAUUGGCAAAUGCGCCUUUGUUGUCUUAAAAUUAUCUGCAAAAAGGAAUGAAUGGAAUCAUUUCUCAUC
Long non-coding RNA from Eucalyptus grandis, 944 nucleotides. RefSeq lists it as uncharacterized. The record is from RefSeq and is a predicted model, not a curated record. The transcript has 2 exons. NCBI's taxonomy places the organism in Eukaryota, Viridiplantae, Streptophyta, Magnoliopsida, Myrtales, Myrtaceae.